GACGAACGCUGGCGGCGUGCUUAACACAUGCAAGUCGAACGGAAAGGCCCUGCUUUUGUGGGGUGCUCGAGUGGCGAACGGGUGAGUAACACGUGAGUAACCUGCCCUUGACUUUGGGAUAACUUCAGGAAACUGGGGCUAAUACCGGAUAGGAGCCCCUGCUGCAUGGUGGGGGUUGGAAAGUUUCGGCGGUCGGGGAUGGACUCGCGGCUUAUCAGCUUGUUGGUGGGGUAGUGGCUUACCAAGGCUUUGACGGGUAGCCGGCCUGAGAGGGUGACCGGCCACAUUGGGACUGAGAUACGGCCCAGACUCCUACGGGAGGCAGCAGUGGGGAAUAUUGCACAAUGGGCGGAAGCCUGAUGCAGCAGCGCCGCGUGCGGGAUGACGGCCUUCGGGUUGUAAACCGCUUUCGCCUGUGACGAAGCGUGAGUGACGGUAAUGAGUAAAGAAGCACCGGCUAACUACGUG
RNAcentral lists this ribosomal RNA (468 nucleotides) under uncultured bacterium. RNAcentral describes it as "partial 16S ribosomal RNA". It matches the Rfam family "Bacterial small subunit ribosomal RNA", at positions 28 to 507 of the family's 1533-position model. The record is from RNAcentral.